Molecule: ribosomal RNA, 253 nt
Filed under: uncultured bacterium
Lineage: Bacteria
Description: partial 16S ribosomal RNA
Rfam family: Bacterial small subunit ribosomal RNA
Source: RNAcentral
UACGGAGGAUCCAAGCGUUAUCCGGAAUCAUUGGGUUUAAAGGGUCCGUAGGCGGUUUAGUAAGUCAGUGGUGAAAGCCCAUCGCUCAACGGUGGAACGGCCAUUGAUACUGCUAGACUUGAAUUAUUAGGAAGUAACUAGAAUAUGUAGUGUAGCGGUGAAAUGCUUAGAGAUUACAUGGAAUACCAAUUGCGAAGGCAGGUUACUACUAAUGGAUUGACGCUGAUGGACGAAAGCGUGGGGAUCAAACAGG